AGUGGCAGACGGGUGAGUAACACGUGGGAACAUACCCUUCGGUUCGGAACAACUCAGGGAAACUUGAGCUAAUACCGGAUACGCCCUUCGGGGGAAAGAUUUAUCGCUGAAGGAUUGGCCCGCGUCUGAUUAGCUAGUUGGUGAGGUAAUGGCUCACCAAGGCGACGAUCAGUAGCUGGUCUGAGAGGAUGAUCAGCCACACUGGGACUGAGACACGGCCCAGACUCCUACGGGAGGCAGCAGUGGGGAAUAUUGGACAAUGGGCGCAAGCCUGAUCCAGCCAUGCCGCGUGAGUGAUGAAGGCCUUAGGGUUGUAAAGCUCUUUCGACGGGGACGAUAAUGACGGUACCCGUAGAAGAAGCCCCGGCUAACUUCGUGCCAGCAGCCGCGGUAAUACGAAGGGGGCUAGCGUUGCUCGGAAUCACUGGGCGUAAAGGGCGCGUAGGCGGCCAUUCAAGUCAGGGGUGAAAGCCUGGAGCUCAACUCCAGAAUUGCCUUUGAUACUGUUUGGCUUGAGACCGGAAGAGGUAAGUGGAACUGCGAGUGUAGAGGUGAAAUUCGUAGAUAUUCGCAAGAACACCAGUGGCGAAGGCGGCUUACUGGUCCGGUUCUGACGCUGAGGCGCGAAAGCGUGGGGAG
This 639-nucleotide ribosomal RNA is filed under the name uncultured Alphaproteobacteria bacterium. RNAcentral's name for it is "bacterial SSU rRNA". It matches the Rfam family "Bacterial small subunit ribosomal RNA", at positions 94 to 768 of the family's 1533-position model. The record is from RNAcentral. Lineage: Bacteria; Pseudomonadati; Pseudomonadota; Alphaproteobacteria.